GNAGCGUANAUGCAAGUCGAGCGGUAACAGAAAGUAGCUUGCUACUUUGCUGACGAGCGGCGGACGGGUGAGUAAUGCUUGGGAACAUGCCUUGAGGUGGGGGACAACAGUUGGAAACGACUGCUAAUACCGCAUAAUGUCUACGGACCAAAGGGGGCUUCGGCUCUCGCCUUUAGAUUGGCCCAAGUGGGAUUAGCUAGUUGGUGAGGUAAUGGCUCACCAAGGCGACGAUCCCUAGCUGGUUUGAGAGGAUGAUCAGCCACACUGGGACUGAGACACGGCCCAGACUCCUACGGGAGGCAGCANUGGGGAAUAUUGCACAAUGGGCGCAAGCCUGAUGCAGCCAUGCCGCGUGUGUGAAGAAGGCCUUCNGGUUGUAAAGCACUUUCAGUCANGAGGAAAGGUUAANNGUUAAUACCCGNUAGCUGUGACGUUACUGACAGAAGAAGCACCGGCUAACUCCGUGCCAGCANCCNCGGUAAUACGGAGGGUGC
This 494-nucleotide ribosomal RNA is filed under the name Pseudoalteromonas sp. RNAcentral's name for it is "partial 16S ribosomal RNA". It matches the Rfam family "Bacterial small subunit ribosomal RNA", at positions 46 to 535 of the family's 1533-position model. Lineage: Bacteria; Pseudomonadati; Pseudomonadota; Gammaproteobacteria; Alteromonadales; Pseudoalteromonadaceae. The record is from RNAcentral.